AUGGAAGAUGAAUGGCUUGAACAUGCACAUGGUUCUUGAUAGCAGCAGCGGGAGGAGGAUGAAGAGUAAUGGCUGAGCUCCAGCUCAAGAAGCUCUUCAACUUCAUGGUGCCUUUCCUGGCCUCCUAGGUGGUCGGCUGAGGUAUGCACCAAACCGGCAAGUCACAAAACGGCAAUGGUGAAACUCCAGCAGGAGUCCA
This 199-nucleotide small RNA is filed under the name Oryza punctata. RNAcentral's name for it is "Early nodulin 40". It matches the Rfam family "Early nodulin 40". The record is from Rfam by way of RNAcentral. Lineage: Eukaryota; Viridiplantae; Streptophyta; Magnoliopsida; Poales; Poaceae.